RNAcentral lists this long non-coding RNA (351 nucleotides) under Panax ginseng (ginseng). RNAcentral's name for it is "long non-coding RNA (PGIN_LNC013470)". The record is from RNAcentral. Lineage: Eukaryota; Viridiplantae; Streptophyta; Magnoliopsida; Apiales; Araliaceae.
AAACAUAGACGACAAAAUCACUUUUUGUAAAUAAUAUAUAGUUCAAUCAGUUGACCGUAAAAAAAAUCAGUUCGAUGAUGCAUUUGUAAACCGACCCCUAGUAGAGUGGGGAAAAAUGUAUUUAACCCAAUAUAAUAAACAUCAAGUUUAACUGCAGCGGAACAAUAAAUCCAUUAGAAGAGUCAAAUAGAGUAUGAUAUCUACUACCUUCUAUGAUUUAAAAAGUUUAUCAACAAUUUUAUCGCCGAGACUCAUCUUAAUAAACAGUAUCACAACCACGAAUUAUCCAUGCACUACGGGACAAUGAUAUUUGUGUUUUCACCAAUGGUCAUGAUCAUGCCAACAACUGUC